GACGAACGCUGGCGGCGUGCUUAACACAUGCAAGUCGAACGGAAAGGCCCUGCUUUUGUGGGGUGCUCGAGUGGCGAACGGGUGAGUAACACGUGAGUAACCUGCCCUUGACUUUGGGAUAACUUCAUGAAACUGGGGCUAAUACCGGAUAGGAGCUCCUGCUGCAUGGUGGGGGUUGGAAAGUUUCGGCGGUUGGGGAUGGACUCGCGGCUUGUCAGCUUGUUGGUGGGGUAGUGGCUUACCAAGGCUUCGACAGGUAGACGGGCUGGGAUGGUGGCCGGACACAUUGGGACUGAGCUAAGGCACAGCCUCAUCCGGGACGCAGCAGUGGAGAGUAUUGCACAGUGGGCUGAGGCCUGAUCCAGCAAAGCCGCGCGGGGGGUGAGGGCAUUCGGGUUGUAAACCGCUUUCGCCUGUCACGAAGCGUGAGUGACGGUAAUGGGUAAAGAAGCACCGGCUAACUACGUG
RNAcentral lists this ribosomal RNA (468 nucleotides) under uncultured bacterium. RNAcentral describes it as "partial 16S ribosomal RNA". It matches the Rfam family "Bacterial small subunit ribosomal RNA", at positions 28 to 507 of the family's 1533-position model. The record is from RNAcentral.